Non-coding RNA from Phalacrocorax carbo (great cormorant), 4324 nucleotides. NCBI's taxonomy places the organism in Eukaryota, Metazoa, Chordata, Aves, Suliformes, Phalacrocoracidae. The record is from RefSeq and is a predicted model, not a curated record.
GCCUCCAUCCUCUACCAGAAAUGCUCCCUGGGCAAAAUCCUGCCCUGAGGGGGAAAAAAAAGCCUUAUCAGAGAAAUUGCUGGCCAUCAGGCAGGUAUAUGCUCUUCCAGAGGGAAAAAUGACUCCUUUGUGAUGGUGGAUCAGGCGAGACACGUGCUCCCAAAUGUCUGGUGGGACGGGGCCAGACCUACAGCUCCUGAGCAAGGAUUAGCGAAGGGCGCUCAACCAUGGCAGCCCCAACUGUUUCCUUUCAAUUCUGCUGCGCAGACAUUUUUCAGAGUUUCUUCUUGGAGCAGCAUUUCUCCAUCUCUCCUUGCAACAAUUUGGGGUGAAACCAAAGGUUUCUGCCAGGUCAGAAGUGCCGACGUUUGCUGUGGGAAGCCGCUGGCCAUGGGUGCGGGACCUCGCAGCUGAACACCUUGAUGUCCUUCAGCGGUCAUGACAGCUAUGGGACCGCAGGAGGAACACACAAAGUCCCCUUUUCACACUCCUCCUCUGCUCCUGUCGCUGUGCCCCACAGCUCCCAGAUUUGCCAGGGCCGCUGGAGCCCACCUCUGCCACCUCAUUCCUGGUUUGUCCCUCCUGAGUUUUAUCAUCCCUGCAGAAAGUCUCCUGGCCUCUGCUACUCUCCUCUCUCUAGGAAGCCAUCUCCAUCCCACUUCUGGCACAUCCCUCUCACCUCCACUCCUCUGCAUCCCACCAUCACCUUCUGCUCUCCCCAAAAUACCACGGCCCAUCUGGGGCCAAUUUAAGGGACGCUGGAGAGGGCCUGGGUGGAGGGGUUGCUGGGACGGUCAGGGCUGAGGACGCACGAGGAGGGGCAGGGACCUGGGCCAAGAGGUGGCUGGGGUCUCUAGACCACAACUCAUGGAUGAUCCCAGCAUGGAGAGGUCCAUGGUGGAGCACCGGUAGCCAGCCUCCUCCUCUUCCUCACAUGAAGCCACAAGCCAGGUUCACCUCCUGAAGGUAAGCAGGCACCAGAGAGGCAGUCACCUGCCUUGGACACCCCCCCCCUCAGAUGCCGGGUGCCCCACGGGGUGCCGGGCGCCCCGAGGGAUGCUGGGUGCCCUUCUGGCAUGGUCAUGGUCCCCUGCCCCUGUGCAAACCACCCCUGGUAAACGUUAACAGGCCAGGGGCCAGAGGGGAGAGGCAGAAAGCGUCCGGGUGAUUCAUUCACGAGGCAUUUAAUCGCCUCCUUCAACCCCAGCUCUCUGUCCACCACCUUUCAGCGGGGGCUCGCUUUAAUUCUCCACCAGCCGAUUAGCCGCUUGACUGCCCGCCGCCGGGGAGGCACCGCCGGGCAGCCGGACCCCGGUGGGAGCGGGAAGGCGAUGGCACGGGGCUGCGAUCGAGACGUAAAACAGGGCAAGCAGAGCUUCCCCCCGCCUCCCCAGCAAAGCGGGGUGCUGCCUCCCCCACGGCGGGGUGCAUUCCAGCCCCGCGGGGAUUAGUCCUUGCGUAAAUACUGUCUCUGUUAAUGGAGCGUCCUCCUCGGCUGGGUUUAGAUUCCCGGGCUGUGUGUACGCACGCCAUCAACCCCCAACAUAAACAAGGCUGAGGCUGAGGGAUGCUGGCUCCUCCGCUCCGGGGAUGCGGGAGGACCGGGCUCAGCCUCCGGCCCCGCCACCCGUAGCUGUUUUUCCGGACCGGCAGCCAAACGUCGCCGGACGGGAGGAGAGGAGCAGCCCUUGGGGAAGAGCAAGUCCGGAGCUGCCGGGGCUGGAACGAGGAAGCGGUGGAGGAAAAGCCAACGAAAAGCCAAGGGAGCCGAUGGGGGGGUGGCAACAGAGCGGAGGAGUGGUGGGCACGGGUGGGGGCUUGUUCCCAAAGCCUCCAGACCAGGCGCUUCGGGGAGGAAAGCAAGCAGGAGCAUAGUGGGGGAUGCAACAGAGGGGCCACAGGGGCAAACCUUAUCCAACCACUGGGCACCUUCCCCCCUGAAACUGUCCCUGGGGUCCUCUCUCCACACCCCGGUCCCCCAGGAUGAGGGAUCUGGCAUGGGAUGGGGACGAGGGCCACGAGUCUGGCUCUCCGGAGCUGCUCUGCUACCAAAUAAGGCCUCCGUCAAGCCUUUUACAUGCUGUUCUCACCCGGCCGGAGUGACGUGACCUCCUUUCCAAAUUGCUCUGCUCCUACCCACCAGGGUCCUGUGGGGGGAUCCCAUCCCACCAGGGGGUCCCUCUCGGGGGGGAGGCAAGAGGGAUGGGGAGGCUGCCCCAGGGUGUCAGGAGCAGGCAGCAGGACCCUUGCCAGCCCGGGGACGAGGCAGGAGAAGGGAAGCCGAAAUGGGGGCUUGUUCCACCUCUCAGCGCCCUGAUCAAUCUCCCUGGAUGGGUGCUGCCUGUCCCUCUUGGUUUUUUUGAGGGGGGAUAAGGCUGGAAGGCAAGCCCUAGGGAGGGGAGAGGUUUGCAGGGCGCAGUGGCUGGGCAGCCCCACUUCCCUUUCACUUAAGCAAAUACUCAACAGCACCGGCUCUUCCAGCCAGAGCUGGGAAAAACUAGCGCAGGGAAAAUACCUGCCUGGCACCAGAGGAGCCCAGCUUGCAAGCACGAGCAGCCAUUGCCCUCCUAACAUGUUCCCAGCAUGGCGGGGGACCCUGGCACCUUGCAGCCAUCCCCUCCAGGGACUCCUCACGUCCAGUAUCCCCCCCGGGGCAGGGCUGCAUGGCAAGGUCAGGGGGUCCCCAAGGGCCAGCAGUGCGAUGGCCGGCCCCUCGCCCCCCAGAUCCAGCUGCCCUUCACCGGUGCGGUUCAUGCCACACCGUUGGGAGAGACAACAGGCCUCCAUGGACAUCUCCCACCACCACGCCUGUCCGAGCCACAUCGCCGCAUCACCCACAAGGACCCGGCAGCAUCGUCCGCCCUGCACCCGGUGAGGCCGCCAGUGGCAAAAUGCCCCAUUAUUGGAGCUCUUUGGGAAACUUUGGUAAGUUUCAGGCUGGAACCGCCUCUGGAAUAAGAAAAUCAAGGUAGGUGACAGCAGGCAAGCGGCUCUGCAGUGCGUGUCAGUGUUACCUAUCAACCUGAGACCGCACCGAAAAGCCGGUGGGGACAUGCCGGAGCAGCCCAGCAGGUGAAAGGCGAGGAGGAGAUCCUAUCUGCCCGCCUUCACCCUCCCAAAGUCCAAAUUCCCAUCUCAAGGUCACGGGCAAAACCAGGAACUUCGUAGUUGCAACGGAGAAAACCCGCUCUCUCGUCCCCGUGGCGGGGCGUGGGGUUUGUCUUCCUUGGGGAUGAGCGUGUUUCGUACAGCUUUGGGGUAAGCCUGGGCUGGACCUUGCACCCUGCUUACUUGAUUUUAAAUCUUGUCUUUUUGGGUUGACCCCAGCCCUGCCACAUCCCCACAGAUGGGACUGUGGUCCUGCAGGGCGGCCCUUGGCUCUGGAGCAGCGGGAUGGACACCCUCGGGGUGAGAAUGAGUUGACCGUGUCCAGAGCAGACGCUGCCCGCGCACAAUACGCAGGGACCAGAGGUGACGCCGCUGAGGACAUCCUGCUGAUGGCUGAGGGCUUGUACCGAAUGGGCGUUUAAGGUCACGGCUCGCCUUUCCGCGACUCAGAGGCCAAAACAGACCCGCAGGCAGCUGCCCGCACGUCCUGCCGGCUGCCCGGACAGACUCAGCCCUGCCACCGAUGUUUUCCAGCCUUCCCGCGGCGGUGAUUUACAGAGCAGAACCUCUCGUGCUGGGAGGGAGAUGGAAACGAGCCGUGCCAGCUGGAUUUGGGGGAGCGGGAAGUGUCUGGUGACGAGGGCACACGGCCCCAGAGGGAAUCUAAAGCAUGGGGAGCGAUCCCGUUACCCAAAUCUGCUGGACCCUCUUGCUUUUGGGGAAUUUAUGCUCCAACAUCCAUUUCCUUCUGUGCUGAGACAAAACGUCAGGCUGUGUCGUUCAAAGAUAGAAGGGGAAGUUGUGAACAACAUCCCUGGGGAAUUUCGGGGGCCAGCUGGGAAGCGCGGACGUGUCCAAAGCUCACCGGAAGAACGGCUGACGAGCGGAGGAGCUUCAGCUCCGCUCUGGACCCUCCGGGAGGGAAGCCGGGCUGGAGGCAGCCCCCGGGGGAUGGGGAGAGAGAGCGGCCCCGGCCCCGGAGCCUUUCCCACCCCGCGAUCCGCAUGGAUUUGGGGCUGCGAGGCCAGGCCACCCCUCUCUCCGAGGAGCCCGGCUCUCCCCCGGCGUGGGCCCAUCUCCCUCUGCCGGCAGGCCGGGGAAGGAGCAGGAGCGGGGCGGCGACGCCCGGGGUGUCCCCGAGGGAUCCGUCCGGAGGCGAGUGGAAAGCGGUGGCAGCGAAGUCCGUACUUGUAGGACCAGGACUACAAGUAUCUCU